UAAGGCGUUUGAGAGACAUCCGCAG
Molecule: small RNA, 25 nt
Filed under: Arabidopsis thaliana (thale cress)
Lineage: Eukaryota; Viridiplantae; Streptophyta; Magnoliopsida; Brassicales; Brassicaceae
Description: ATSL122750
Source: RNAcentral